Molecule: ribosomal RNA, 329 nt
Filed under: uncultured eukaryote
Lineage: Eukaryota
Description: partial 18S ribosomal RNA
Rfam family: Eukaryotic small subunit ribosomal RNA
Source: RNAcentral
CCCUUAGAUGUCCUGGGCCGCACGCGCGCUACACUGAGUGUCUGAGAUACGAGUCUGCCUGGUCCGGCAAGGUCUAGGUAAUCGCUAAAAGACACAUCAUGCUUGGGAUAGAUUAUUGCAAAUAUUAAUCUUGAACGAGGAAUUCCUAGUAAGCGCAAGUCAACAGCUUGCGUUGAUUACGUCCCUGCCCUUUGUACACACCGCCUGUCGCUACUACUGAUUGGAUGUUUAAGCGAGGUUCUCGAACUGCUAGCGACUUAGCUUCGGUGAGGUCGCAGUGUGGGAAGUGAACCUAGCUUUGGUGUCUAGAGGAAGUAAAAGUCGUAACA